CCGUCCGAUCUUUCGUCCCGCCGCUUGCUCCCUCCUCCCCGUCCGAUCCCCUCCCUCUCCAACACUGCUCACCCGCGCCGCCUGUCACCGCGCGCUCCGCCCUGCAUCGCACGCCCGAGCGCUCCGCCCUGCACGGUUGCACCGUUCUCUCCCUCAGCCCCGCAACCUAGGUCGUCUUCUCCACCUCCGUUUUGGGUCGCCGGAGGCCGCCGGGGUCCGGAUCCACCCUCUCCCUCGCCGGAUCUACGCCUCCCUUGCCGGAUCUGCCUCGACGCAGUGUUCCUCCGUCUGGGCGACAUGGAGCCGCCCUCCCCUUUCCGGCGGCGCUGGUGCGUCCUCCUUCCCAUCGUCGGCAGCCCCGUCGCUCGGUGCCGCGUGGAGCGUCUGGCGGCCCGCCGUCCCGUCGCACAGACAUGGCGUCCUCCCGUAUCGAGCUGCGGCGUGGUCGCGCGGAGCGACAGCUCGCCGGUCUUCCCAUCAUCCACGACUUCUACAGCUUCUCCAAGCCCAUGUACCAGUGCAUGCGGCCGCCUCCCCCAUGCCAGCCUCCUCGGCGCGCGCCCUGAGUGCCGCGCAGCACUUUGGGUCAACGACGCACAGAGCGGCACCCGUGCUGUCCCCGUUGUGUGGUGCCGUGCCGUCCGACCUGUCCCCACUGUGCGGGAUGCUACCGCGACCACCUGAGAUGUGUCCCACCUCGCCGCCAUCCCUGCGGGCUCGGAGUGCCACCCAGCUCGCCUCGAGUCAUCGCUGUGCGAAGCGCGGCCCAGCUGUGCACGGAGCAGAAGAGAGGGCUAAGUGAAGGAGGAGAAGAUAGCGACGGCGGCAAUCUUCAUCAACUCGUGUGAUCAACACCGUGAAGGCCUCAUGGGUGGUGUCCUCUAGCGAUGGAGGCAGGGCUAUAUGGUGCCUGUAGUUUUAGUUUGGCGCUGGCGUGAUAGAGCCACUGGUGAUGGUGAAGCUGCUGCAGCCCAUGUACCACUUCGAGAGAUGCCAAGAUGAGAUUGCGAGUACUUCAUCUCCCUCUUAAUCCUCUUGAUGGUAAGUGUGCUUAUGCAGUACCUAAAUCAAUGAAGCUAGACUAAAAUGUGAGUAUAUCUGAAUCAGUUAAAUUUUGCCUUUUUGUUUUAGAAUAAGAGACUUAGCCUGCAUCUAUUAAUUCAAAUCUACCAUGUGGAAAUGUGCAUCAUAGAUAACAAUUAGCCAUCAUCAAUGAUGUUCAGUGAUGCUGUAACAGCGAUGUUUCUAUCAAGAAACUGCAUUUCUUGUGGUUCUGUUGAUGUUUGAAUAAAACUGAAUUAAAUAGACACCAUGAGCCUGUGUUCAGGUGAUCAAUAUAGCAACAUUAAUCUUGCAACGAACUAAAGUUCAGACUUUUCAGUUUGUCAUAGUUUAGCCUUUUGCAUAGGAUCUGUCUUUAACUCAAAAUGAGAAAGAAUUAGAAUAAACUGCCAUAUUUAAAAUCUGUUCCAAAUUUCAGUUAAAAGCCGACUCAAGUUUUAUGUAUAAUCUGAGAAUAAAAGUCUGAUCUAAGGGAUGCAUGAAUUUUUUUAAUCUCAUACUACUGUUUGAAGUUAAAGUGUAAUUAAUUUACAAGGCAAGGUCAUAAUGUUUCAUAGAACCCCACCCCAAUUUAGUUAAAGCGCCUUGGCCACCCGAAUUGAUAUGCUUUGCUUGUGGAUCAAUUCUGUUGACCAGGAUGUGACUUUAUGAAAUUCGUUGACCAUAAAACACUGGGAUUAAGUUCUACUAGCUAAAAGACUGGAGUUUUUCUUCAACACCAAAUAUGAAACCUGUGGUUUACUGAUUUACUCCAUUUUUCACUUUGUGCCUCUAUACUUGAACUAAUAAUUUUCUUUUAUCAUCCACGGGAUAUGGACUCUAUUGCUGAAACAAUGAUGCAGCAACUUUUGUCCAAGGAAAUUCUUCAUAAGCCUAUGAAAGACAUUGUGCAAAAAUAUCGAAAAUGGCUGGAGGGUAAGAAAGAUGAAAUAAGUAAAUAAGAAUAUGAGCGUAACAACAAUCAACUCGAACUCAUGGUGAAUCUUAUUGAGGUGUAUAAAAAUGAGACUGGAAACAUGACCCAGUGAUUUUGUUCAAGAUGCAUGUUGUACCUGAUAUGGACCUGAGCAAGUUGGGACAACCGUGAGUACCACAAAGUCUGCAAUUAUUAGGACACCAUCCAGGUGAAUCCUUCAGUUAUAAAUAUUGUACCUACUAGGAAUGAUUGCCAUACCGUGCAAUUAACCUCCUAAUAUUGAUAUCUUUGUGCAGUAUUUUUAUCAAAGAUAGGGUAAAUAAUUGUGCCAUUUGUAUAAACCAUUAGACAAGAGAAUUUGAUCCAUGUCACAAGAUAUAUCUAUUUAUAAGAAAAAUCUUUUUCUUUAUGGAUUUUUAAGCAGAUCAUGCUAUUUGGGAUUCCGAUUACCAUGAAAGAACUGGUGACUGGUCAUGUAUGAAAACUUGAAUGCUUGAGCAGGGAGGAUCCUUCAGGUUUUCCCUCACUGUCCAAGAUUAACCGUAGGGGCUUGAGGAGGAAGAGGAGGUUUGAGGUGUUGGAUGAUAAAGGGCUAAUUGUGGUAGCUAUCAUUCUACCAGAAACUAAAUUUGAGCUUGUCGUUAUGGGUGCUAUAUUGUAGCAAAGAAACUUUAGGGUUACUUUAGUGGUAAACGAUGAUGGUAGCUUGGAGAUUUCAUCCAUGUGAGAACAGUCAUCAAGCACAGAAAGUAAACCUGCUGAAAUAAAAUAACCUUCAAUUCCUUGGAUUA
Long non-coding RNA from Panicum virgatum (switchgrass), 2769 nucleotides. RefSeq lists it as uncharacterized. The record is from RefSeq and is a predicted model, not a curated record. Lineage: Eukaryota; Viridiplantae; Streptophyta; Magnoliopsida; Poales; Poaceae. The transcript is spliced from 4 exons.